CAAUAAGNGGAGGAAAAGAACCCACCAGGGAUUACCUCAGUAACGGCGAGUGAAGCGGUAACAGCUCAAAUUUGAAAGCUAGCUCUUUUAGGGUUCGCAUUGUAAUUUGUAGAAGAUGCUUCGGGUGUGGCCCCGGUCUAAGUUCCUUGGAACAGGACGUCAUAGAGGGUGAGAAUCCCGUAUGUGACUGGGUGCUUUCGCUCAUGUGAAGCUCUUUCGACGAGUCGAGUUGUUUGGGAAUGCAGCUCAAAAUGGGUGGUAAAUUUCAUCUAAAGCUAAAUAUUGGCCAGAGACCGAUAGCGCACAAGUAGAGUGAUCGAAAGAUGAAAAGCACUUUGGAAAGAGAGUUAAACAGUACGUGAAAUUGUUGAAAGGGAAGCGCUUGCAACCAGACUUGCGCGCUGAUGAUCAUCCGGGCUUCUGCCCGGUGCACUCGUCUGCGCUCAGGCCAGCAUCGGUUUCGGUGGUGGGAUAAAGGCCUUGGGAAUGUAGCUCCUCUCGGGGAGUGUUAUAGCCCUCGGUGCAAUGCCGCCUACCGGGACCGAGG
RNAcentral lists this ribosomal RNA (547 nucleotides) under [Graphium] rubrum. RNAcentral's name for it is "eukaryotic LSU rRNA". It matches the Rfam family "Eukaryotic large subunit ribosomal RNA", at positions 44 to 594 of the family's 3401-position model. The record is from RNAcentral. Lineage: Eukaryota; Fungi; Ascomycota; Leotiomycetes; Helotiales.